GGACUGUGGCUCAGUGGCAGAGUGCAUGCCUUGCAUGUGUGAGGCACUGGGUUCAAUCCUCAGCACCA
RNAcentral lists this transfer RNA (68 nucleotides) under Marmota monax (woodchuck). RNAcentral's name for it is "tRNA.Ala". The stretch from base 5 to 65 matches the Rfam family "tRNA", at positions 6 to 65 of the family's 71-position model. Rfam says of the family: Transfer RNA (tRNA) molecules are approximately 80 nucleotides in length. Their secondary structure includes four short double-helical elements and three loops (D, anti-codon, and T loops). Further hydrogen bonds mediate the characteristic L-shaped molecular structure. tRNAs have two regions of fundamental functional importance: the anti-codon, which is responsible for specific mRNA codon recognition, and the 3' end, to which the tRNAs corresponding amino acid is attached (by aminoacyl-tRNA synthetases). tRNAs cope with the degeneracy of the genetic code in two manners: having more than one tRNA (with a specific anti-codon) for a particular amino acid; and 'wobble' base-pairing, i.e. permitting non-standard base-pairing at the 3rd anti-codon position. The record is from RNAcentral. Lineage: Eukaryota; Metazoa; Chordata; Mammalia; Rodentia; Sciuridae.